CGAGGCCUACGGGGGGCAGCAGUGAGGAAUAUUGGUCAAUGGGCGGGAGCCUGAACCAGCCAAGCCGCGUGAGGGAAGAAGGUACAGCGUAUCGUAACCCUCUUUUGUCAGGGAACAAAGGCGGGGACUAGUCCCCGGAUGAGGGUACCUGAAGAAAAAGCAUCGGCUAACUCCGUGCCAGCAGCCGCGGUAAUACGGAGGAUGCGAGCGUUAUCCGGAUUUAUUGGGUUUAAAGGGUGCGCAGGCGGAGGCACAAGUCAGCGGUAAAAUCGCGGGGCUCAACCCCGCUCCGCCGUUGAAACUGU
RNAcentral lists this ribosomal RNA (305 nucleotides) under uncultured bacterium. RNAcentral's name for it is "bacterial SSU rRNA". It matches the Rfam family "Bacterial small subunit ribosomal RNA", at positions 333 to 636 of the family's 1533-position model. The record is from RNAcentral.